This 1555-nucleotide long non-coding RNA is filed under the name Bos grunniens (domestic yak). RNAcentral describes it as "lncRNA (ENSBGRG00000007864.1)". Lineage: Eukaryota; Metazoa; Chordata; Mammalia; Artiodactyla; Bovidae. The record is from RNAcentral.
CAGCACUGACCAGUCUCUGUGCAGGGAGGGGUGUGGCAUCCACUCGGGCCCUUGGUGUGCUUGCUGGACGGGGUGGGGCGCCCCAGGCCACACGCUGGAGCUGCCCUGAGCCGGCCAGUGGGGACUCAAGUUUGUGUCCCCAGCUGUAGCCCCCACGGCGUCUAAACAAGGCCCCGGCACCCACUCCUGAACAGGCCCACUGUGUGCCCGCUCCCCGCCAGCAGGGGGCACAGGAGGACUGACGGCAGGCCGGCAGCAGGCUGGGGAACCAGAGCUCCGCCUCCCUGGGUGCCUGUGGAGCCACCGGCUCAGGGCUUGGAGUCCUCAGGGGGCCCUGGCUGGGGCAGUGGCAGAGCCCUGUGGCGCCUGGCACGUGACAGUGGACAGUAGAGGGGCAGGGGUGGCCCCGGCCCUCCCAGGGCUCACCCGGCCCGUGUGUUCGUCUGGGGACGCUGGGGGUGGGGGCCCUGGCGUGGCGGGGCUCUGGCGUGGCGACGGCCUGCCGAGCAGCCCCACACACGGCGCCUCAACAGGAUGGUCGAGAGAGUCAUGGACAGGCCCUCGGGGACCUUACAUCCUUCCAGCCAGGGGCAGUGGUGAGCAGAGGCUGGCCCAGUCGCCUGCGGGGUCAUAGUCAAGCCGGCCGCAGGGAGACGGGCCAGGCAAGGCCAGGCGCACACAGGUGAGCUAGCCUGGGAGGACUUCAACGUGCCUGGAGGAGCCAGCUAGCAGCAUAGCGGCUCCCCAAGGACAGCCCAAGCGCUGUGUCAGACGCAGGGGCGCUCACAUCCCUGGAUUUGUCUGCAAACCGCUGGACCCGUGAGAACAGGGAAGGGGCCCCAACAGCAGUGGAGCCGGGGUGCACUGCCCUGGACCGCUGGAGCCGCAGUCCGAGCCUGUGCUUGGCCAUGGGCAGGAACCAGCAAAAACCCAUGGACUACUGUCCGGAGGAGCUGCAAGAUGAAACAGUUUCUGGAAAAGACCAGGGAUAUGUUUAAUUGAAAGCCAUCUGCUGCUGCUGCUAAGUCGCUUCAGUUGUGUCCGACUCUGUGUGACCCCAUAGACAGCAGCCCACCAGGCUCCCCUGUUCCUGGAAUUCUCCAGGCAAGAACUCUGGAGUGGGUUGCCAUUUCCUUCUCCAAUGCAUGAAAGUGAAAAGUGAAAGUGAAGUUGUUCAGCGACCCCAUGGACUGCAGCCUACCAGGCUCCUCUGUCCAUGGGAUUUGCCAGGCAAGAGUACUGGAGUGGGGUGCCAUUGCCUUCUCCAUGAAAGCCAUCAAGGAAAUACAAAACCUGUAAAGCAGAAGCAGCAGAAUAGGAAUUGAGAACAGGCAGAAACUGACAUUUAAAAGGGAGCUGACAGGGAAGAGGCACAGCGACUGGGCUAAAUGCUUCACGCAGGGAAAGGAGGCUGGACCCAGACCAGCUGCUGUGGAAUCAGACAACAGAAAGCAGAGAAGCAGAAACCUGCCAGAAGAACAGGGGAACAGGGGGGCCUGGGAGGUGGCUCUGAAGAGGAGACUGUCCCCAGGGUGCGAACAGAGGUCUGAUGGAG